GAUUUUUAUAAGACUUAUAAAAAAAGAAAAAACAUAAUACAAUAACCAAGGCAUGUCGUACAUUGUGUUUUUUCUUUGCUUCUCUGAUGAGUAUUUACAAACAGGCUUAUUUACAGCUCAAACAUGAAAAAAGGAAGGCUACAUGAAGCCUAGCACAAACAACCAGCCAUAAUGAUAAUAUAUUUGUUAUGUACAAUGUAACUGGCAAGGCUAGAGCAAGAAACGACAUAAAGACUCUGCAAAAAGGUUCAAAUAACUUCAAGUAUCUCUUGAGGUUUUCGUGGAGGUUCUAUUCCGAAGGAGGCGAUGCCGCAGAGAAACCCCCAAACGUGUAAGAGUAGUGAGGACAUCGCAAAAGACGACAGAGACGGACGAGGCAACUGGACACCACUUCUCUGAUUAAUGCCUUUGAAACCACAUGGGAAAUCUCUCCUCGUCAUAUAAAGUAACAUCCUGCUUUUUUUUUACUGUUUUAAACGACAAAUGUGCAACAAAGGAAACAAUCGAAGGAAUCAAUAACACGCUGGUUCCUGCAGGAGGAGGGGGGGGGGGGGUAGCGGUAGCUGUCGGAACAGUUGUCAUGUUUCUUUGUUUUAGGUCAUCUUAGGCAUCCAAAAGGAACUUCACUACAUUCUGCCAACACGUCGUGGCCUCUCUCAUGAAACCGAUGAAAUCUCCAUCGUAAUAUUGUUAUCUACAUGAAAAGUCCUCACUUAGUACCUCACACGUGAAUAUGAUGGACCGCAUAAAACAAAACAGCAGUGUGAAAAAAGAGGAUCUAGCUUGCUUGAAAUAUCUGGUUGUUCUUCUAGGUUAGAAGUAGUUAGUUCUACUCUCAUUAUAUAGCCACUAGUAGGAAAUGUGUGUCCCGAGGACGGGCCAUUUGUCCUAUUUACGUCUCCAAGUGCAUAAAACUCUAACACUACUUCACGACGCUCAACAACACUGUGGGGCUCCGUCUCCUCCCCCUCUACAUUUUAGUUUAGUGUAUUCGUUUUGGAAGGAGACGAGAAGAAAACAACUCCAUUUACAACACAACAAAGGCGGAGGCCAGUUUCAGGGUCUCAAACGGCCCCCGUCACAGUGCGCUGCUUCUUGACCCCCGAACCAGGAACGCCGUUGAGACGCGAUAGUGUCACUUUUUAAGACCUUUAAAGUAGAGCAGACGUCUGUUCCAUCGCCUGUCAGGGUUAGAAGAGUGAAAUGUGGGACCGUCAUUGUGCGUUUCCUGGGAAGCCGGGUAGCAUUUGAGGAUCGCCGCCCCCCCUCCCCGCCAGACCCCCCCCUCCAACCCCUUCAGCAGACAGUGAGCAGCUGGGGCUCACUUUCUCGCCGCUGGUUCUUUUUCAACAGCUGGAUGCGAUUGUGGCAGUAGAACUUGAUGGCCCGCCAGUCGCGGUGGUUGCUGACCAGCAGGGGGCACUGCUGCAGGCAGCGCUCGCAGUCGGCCUUGGCGGGGACGCGGAGCUCGGUGAUGUUCUGGGUCAGGUGCUCCUCAACCGCCGCGCGCUCCGCCUCUGACCAGGGCCGCUUCAGGACGCCGCGCUUCCCUGCAGACAGGAGGGGAGAGUAGGUGAUGGUGACGUGUUUUGUUAGAAGCUCGGAUGGACUCCGCCCCCACCC
Molecule: long non-coding RNA, 1623 nt
Organism: Gasterosteus aculeatus aculeatus (three-spined stickleback)
Lineage: Eukaryota; Metazoa; Chordata; Actinopteri; Perciformes; Gasterosteidae
Source: Ensembl